CCCCCCCAGGCCGAAUGUCCAACCCGUCANAGACAGANAGUCGUACAAGUUUCCGAGGAACNCGGAAGAUCAUACCGAGUGUAGGUCCUAGGGAGCCCAACCUCCCACCCGUGUUUACUGGUACCUUAGUUGCUUCGGCGGGCCCGCCAUUCAUGGCCGCCGGGGGCUCUCAGCCCCGGGCCCGCGCCCGCCGGAGACACCACGAACUCUGUCUGAUCUAGUGAAGUCUGAGUUGAUUGUAUCGCAAUCAGUUAAAACUUUCAACAAUGGAUCUCUUGGUUCCGGCAUCGAUGAAGAACGCAGCGAAAUGCGAUAACUAGUGUGAAUUGCAGAAUUCCGUGAAUCAUCGAGUCUUUGAACGCACAUUGCGCCCCCUGGUAUUCCGGGGGGCAUGCCUGUCCGAGCGUCAUUGCUGCCCAUCAAGCACGGCUUGUGUGUUGGGUCGUCGUCCCCUCUCCGGGGGGGACGGGCCCCAAAGGCAGCGGCGGCACCGCGUCCGAUCCUCGAGCGUAUGGGGCUUUGUCACCCGCUCUGUAGGCCCGGCCGGCGCUGCCGAACGCAAAUCAAUCUUUUAUCCAGGUGACCUCGGAUCAGGUAG
Molecule: ribosomal RNA, 598 nt
Filed under: Aspergillus flavus
Lineage: Eukaryota; Fungi; Ascomycota; Eurotiomycetes; Eurotiales; Aspergillaceae
Description: eukaryotic LSU rRNA
Rfam family: 5.8S ribosomal RNA (bases 256-409)
Source: RNAcentral